This 687-nucleotide ribosomal RNA is filed under the name uncultured Mucilaginibacter sp. RNAcentral describes it as "bacterial SSU rRNA". It matches the Rfam family "Bacterial small subunit ribosomal RNA", at positions 25 to 708 of the family's 1533-position model. The record is from RNAcentral. Lineage: Bacteria; Pseudomonadati; Bacteroidota; Sphingobacteriia; Sphingobacteriales; Sphingobacteriaceae.
CAGGAUGAACGCUAGCGGCAGGCCUAAUACAUAGCAAGUCGAACGGGAUUGAAGAGCUUGCUUUUCAUGAGAGUGGCGCACGGGUGCGUAACACGUAUGUAACCUACCUUAAUCUGGGGGAUAGCCUCUCGAAAGAGAGAUUAACACCGCAUAACAUUAUCGGACAGCAUUUUCUGAUAAUCAAAUAUUUAUAGGAUUAAGAUGGGCAUGCGGAACAUUAGCUAGUUGGUAAGGUAAUGGCUUACCAAGGCUACGAUGUUUAGGGGAUCUGAGAGGAUGACCCCCCACACUGGUACUGAGACACGGACCAGACUCCUACGGGAGGCAGCAGUAAGGAAUAUUGGUCAAUGGGCGCAAGCCUGAACCAGCCAUGCCGCGUGCAGGAAGACGGCCCUACGGGUUGUAAACUGCUUUUGUACCGGAAUAAACCUUUUCACGUGUGAGAAGCUGAAUGUACGGUAAGAAUAAGGAUCGGCUAACUCCGUGCCAGCAGCCGCGGUAAUACGGAGGAUCCAAGCGUUAUCCGGAUUUAUUGGGUUUAAAGGGUGCGUAGGCGGUUCUUUAAGUCAGGGGUGAAAGACGGUAGCUUAACUAUCGCAGUGCCUUUGAUACUGAAGAACUUGAAUACACUUGAGUAGGCGGAAUGUGACAAGUAGCGGGUGAAAUGCAUAGAUAUGUCACAGAACA